GCAGCUCAAAAUGGGUGGUAAAUUUCAUCUAAAGCUAAAUAUUGGCCAGAGACCGAUAGCGCACAAGUAGAGUGAUCGAAAGAUGAAAAGCACUUUGGAAAGAGAGUUAAACAGUACGUGAAAUUGUUGAAAGGGAAGCGCUUGCAACCAGACUUGCCCGCGGGCGAUCAGCCGGUAUUCUUACCGGUGCACUCGCCCGUGGUCAGGCCAGCAUCGGUUUGGGCGGUUGGAUAAAGCCCCCCGGAACGUAGCUCCUCUCGGGGAGUGUUAUAGCCGGGGGUGCAAUGCAUCCUGCCCGGACCGAGGACCGCGCUUCGGCUAGGAUGCUGGCGUAAUGGUUGUAAGCGACCCGUCUUGAAACACGGACCAAGGAGUCUAACAUCUAUGCGAGUGUUUGGGUGUCAAACCCAUGCGCGUAAUGAAAGUGAACGGAGGUGGGAACCCUCAAGGGUGCACCAUCGACCGAUCCUGAUGUCUUCGGAUGGAUUUGAGUAAGAGCAUAGCUGUUGGGACCCGAAAGAUGGUGAACUAUGCCUGAAUAGGGUGAAGCCAGAGGAAACUCUGGUGGAGGCUCGCAGCGGUUCUGACGUGCAAAUCGAUCGUCAAAUUUGGGUAUAGGGGCGAAAGACUAAUCGAACCAUCUGCUACUAGAUGGCAUACGGGCCACGCGCGCCCAAGUAGCCCCCGUGCGCGGGGGCGACACCGCCGGUCUUCCGGGGACGCCUCCGGGCUACCCGCAGUGAGCUUCCGGGCUCAUCCACAGACUAAGUGGCGGUGGCCGUGCCCAGCGGCGCGGUUAGGAUAUAGCCGAUCCCCCCUC
This 820-nucleotide ribosomal RNA is filed under the name Acarospora hellbomii. Its description in RNAcentral is "Acarospora sp. EH-2021c partial large subunit ribosomal RNA". It matches the Rfam family "Eukaryotic large subunit ribosomal RNA", at positions 282 to 1443 of the family's 3401-position model. Lineage: Eukaryota; Fungi; Ascomycota; Lecanoromycetes; Acarosporales; Acarosporaceae. The record is from RNAcentral.